RNAcentral lists this ribosomal RNA (440 nucleotides) under uncultured bacterium. RNAcentral describes it as "partial 16S ribosomal RNA". It matches the Rfam family "Bacterial small subunit ribosomal RNA", at positions 338 to 795 of the family's 1533-position model. The record is from RNAcentral.
CCUACGGGAGGCAGCAGUGGGGGAUAUUGCACAAUGGGGGAAACCCUGAUGCAGCGACGCCGCGUGAGUGAAGAAGUAUUUCGGUAUGUAAAGCUCUAUCAGCAGGGAAGAAAAUGACAGUACCUGACCAAGAAGCCCCGGCUAACUACGUGCCAGCAGCCGCGGGAAUACGUAGGGGGCAAGCGUUAUCCGGAUUUCAUGGGUGUAAAGGGAGCGUAGACGGCUAUGUAAGUCUGGAGUGAAAGCCCGGGGCCCAACCCCGGGACUGCUUUGGAAACUGUGUAACUGGAGGACGGGAGGGGCAGGCGGAAUUCCUGGUGGAGCGGUGAAAUGCGUAGAUAUCAGGAGGAACACCGGCGGCGAAGGCGGCCUGCUGGACUGAGACUGACGUUGAGGCUCGAAAGCGUGGGGAGCGAACAGGAUUAGAUACCCGGGUAGUC